GAUGAACGCUGGCGGCGUGCCUAAUACAUGCAAGUCGAGCGAACGGACGAGAAGCUUGCUUCUCUGAUGUUAGCGGCGGACGGGUGAGUAACACGUGGAUAACCUACCUAUAAGACUGGGAUAACUUCGGGAAACCGGAGCUAAUACCGGAUAAUAUUUUGAACCGCAUGGUUCAAAAGUAAAAGACGGUCUUGCUGUCACUUAUAGAUGGAUCCGCGCUGCAUUAGCUAGUUGGUAAGGUAACGGCUUACCAAGGCAACGAUGCAUAGCCGACCUGAGAGGGUGAUCGGCCACACUGGAACUGAGACACGGUCCAGACUCCUACGGGAGGCAGCAGUAGGGAAUCUUCCGCAAUGGGCGAAAGCCUGACGGAGCAACGCCGCGUGAGUGAUGAAGGUCUUCGGAUUGUAAAACUCUGUUAUUAGGGAAGAACAUAUGUGUAAGUAACUGUGCACAUCUUGACGGUACCUAAUCAGAAAGCCACGGCUAACUACGUG
RNAcentral lists this ribosomal RNA (497 nucleotides) under uncultured bacterium. RNAcentral describes it as "partial 16S ribosomal RNA". It matches the Rfam family "Bacterial small subunit ribosomal RNA", at positions 28 to 507 of the family's 1533-position model. The record is from RNAcentral.